Molecule: ribosomal RNA, 253 nt
Filed under: uncultured prokaryote
Description: partial 16S ribosomal RNA
Rfam family: Bacterial small subunit ribosomal RNA (bases 27-253)
Source: RNAcentral
CCUUCUUCCUCCCCCUUUUUUCUUCCUUCCUGGGCGUAAAGAGUGUGUAGGCGGUUCUGUAAGUUUGGUGUGAAAUCUCCUGGCUUAACUGGGAGGGGGCGCCGAAAACUGCAAGGCUUGAGUACUGGAGAGGAUAGCGGAAUUCCUGGUGUAGCAGUGAAAUGCGUAGAUAUCAGGAGGAACACCGGCGGUGUAGACGGCUGUCUGGACAGUAACUGACGCUGAGACCCGAAAGCGUGGGGAGCAAACAGGA